RNAcentral lists this long non-coding RNA (221 nucleotides) under Physcomitrium patens. Its description in RNAcentral is "long non-coding RNA (PPAT_LNC010729)". Lineage: Eukaryota; Viridiplantae; Streptophyta; Bryopsida; Funariales; Funariaceae. The record is from RNAcentral.
AGCUGGCCGGCUGGGUGGUUUGGGUCUGACACCUUGCCAGAGCUCUGCGACGAUGAUCAAUUUGCUGGUAUGGAAUGGCAGACACGGAGAGCGGUGACUAUAAUUUUUUUUAAUAUUGGUAAGUCACUGGUUUCCUGGAUCGAUGUAAGCAGCGGGCAGUGAUGCAUGGGUCCUGCUGGGCCCACUGUCAGAUGCACUAGAGAUUACUGCAGUUGGAAGUG